UCCUCGGUAGCUCAAUGGUAGAGCACGCGGCUGUUAACCGCGCUGUUGUAGGUUCGAGCCCUACCCGGGGAGCCA
Molecule: transfer RNA, 75 nt
Filed under: Coriobacteriales bacterium
Lineage: Bacteria; Bacillati; Actinomycetota; Coriobacteriia; Coriobacteriales
Also listed under: 1 other name
Description: tRNA-Asn
Rfam family: tRNA
About the family: Transfer RNA (tRNA) molecules are approximately 80 nucleotides in length.
Source: RNAcentral